RNAcentral lists this long non-coding RNA (762 nucleotides) under Fukomys damarensis (Damara mole-rat). Its description in RNAcentral is "lncRNA (ENSFDAG00000026724.1)". The record is from RNAcentral. Lineage: Eukaryota; Metazoa; Chordata; Mammalia; Rodentia; Bathyergidae.
UCAGAAUCCAGAACUGCAGGGUCCUGGAAAACCUCAGCUGUUUUCCAGGUGCCGGUCAGUGCUUGGGAAAGCUGAGAAGGGAGGGUUCUGUGCUCUGGCUGUGGCAGGCCCAGCAGGUCCCGAAGCCUGUGACUCACGGAGAUGCCUGCAUCGUUAGCACCCAUGUGAGCCUGUCUUGCAGCUAUGAAGCACUCGCCAAAGGACAAGGCACGGACUGGGGGCUGCUGGUGAGAAGCAAGCACACAGCACCCCAUGCCUGCAGACAAGUGCCCCCCGCCCCUGCGGACCUGCUCCCGUCCCAGUGCAUGGCUGCGUGUUGGGUGCUUGCUGGGUGAAGGCCCGGGGCUGCUGCCGGUGGGCGGGAUGGGGCCACCACUCCUGCCAUUUGCUGAAUUUCGACUUGCAAAGCAGCAGUGGAGACAUCACCAGCUCUUUGAACCUCUGUCACCCGUUCUCCAAAUCCUGCUGCCUUCAGAUGACACCGCUUGGAUAUUUUCUGCUUCCGUGGGGCAGGCAGGAAAAUCCCUGCCAGAUGGGAAGCCUGGAGAUAACCCAGGAACCCAAGGCUUGGAUGUGCCACUCCUCACAGACCACCCACGGGCGAGCGCUCCUGCUCUGUCUUACCUCUCUGGAAAGCUGUGUGCAUCCCUCAUUCUUCAUUGCUUUGGAAAAUGCCUGUGCCAGCCAGUGUCUAGGGUGCUGGACGAGCACGCACGAGGCCCGUGUACAGCAGGGGCUGAUGGUCGCAUCCGGAGGGGGUGA